CAGGCCUAACACAUGCAAGUCGGACGGGAUUGGGAGCUUGCUCCCAUGAGAGUGGCGCACGGGUGCGUAACACGUAUGUAACCUACCUUUAUCAGGGGGAUAGCCUGUCGUAAGAGAGAUUAACACCGCAUUACAUGAUUGAGUAGCAUUAUUUAAUCAUCAAAUAUUUAUAGGAUAAAGAUGGGCAUGCGGGACAUUAGCUAGUUGGCGGGGUAACGGCCCACUCAAGGCGACGAUGUCUAGGGGCUCUGAGAGGAGAAUCCCCCACAAUGGUACUGAGACACGGACCAAACUCCUACGGGAGGCAGCAGUAAGGAAUAUUGGUCAAUGGGCGGAAGCCUAAACCAGCCAUGCCGCGUUUCAGGACGACUGCCCUAUGGCUUGUAAACAGCUUUUGUCG
RNAcentral lists this ribosomal RNA (400 nucleotides) under uncultured bacterium. RNAcentral describes it as "bacterial SSU rRNA". It matches the Rfam family "Bacterial small subunit ribosomal RNA", at positions 43 to 441 of the family's 1533-position model. The record is from RNAcentral.